Molecule: ribosomal RNA, 253 nt
Filed under: uncultured bacterium
Lineage: Bacteria
Description: partial 16S ribosomal RNA
Rfam family: Bacterial small subunit ribosomal RNA
Source: RNAcentral
UACAGAGGUCCCAAGCGUUGUUCGGAUUCACUGGGCGUAAAGGGUGCGUAGGCGGCGGGGUAAGUUUGAUGUGAAAUCUCCGGGCUUAACCCGGAAACUGCAUUGAAUACUAUUCUGCUCGAGGUUUGGAGGGGGGACUGGAAUUCUCGGUGUAGCAGUGAAAUGCGUAGAUAUCGAGAGGAACACCAGUGGCGAAGGCGAGUCCCUGGACAACAACUGACACUGAGGCACGAAAGCUAGGGGAGCAAACAGG